This 3166-nucleotide long non-coding RNA is filed under the name Malus domestica (apple). RNAcentral's name for it is "long non-coding RNA (MDOM_LNC016171)". The record is from RNAcentral. Lineage: Eukaryota; Viridiplantae; Streptophyta; Magnoliopsida; Rosales; Rosaceae.
AAAUCAACUCCAAAAAUCCCAAAAAUUUGUGUGAGUGUAGCUCUUUGUGUCUAGUAUCUGCAUAUAAAAUUUCGUAGAAUUUAGAUAAGUGUAAGUCGGUCUAAUAAUUAUUGUUUGGUGGCUGGUCAGUAGGGACAGCAACCAGUUUUUGUAACAUUUUAAAUAGUUAGAUAAAACAAUCUUCUGCGGGAAAGACCCUUAUUUUCAUAUGCUACAACUGACAAAUCUUAUUGUUAAUAAGGAAAAUCAAUAGGACAUUUGUGUGCUACUUUAUGGUGUGCUUUUAAUCCUAUCAAAUUUUUGGCGCCGUGUCGCCGGGGAUUGUUAUUUCUAAUUAUUUAUUUCUCUAUUGUUUUCUUUUCUUGUCUAAUUAGUGUUUUUGUUUUUGUUUUUAUGUCAGGUACUCUUCAUAGUAUAUGCAUACUCGAAGGUCCAAGAACCAGCCCCCCUUGGAUGAUUACUCUCGGAAAGUUUGAUCAUGUCCACCCUUAAAGUUGAUUGCAAAAUUGGAGUUUGGGGAUCAUCGCUUGAUUUUACAGCAAAUUGGGGAAAUUUUCAGUCCAAAUGCUUUAUUUUGUUUAUUAUUAUUUAUUUUAUUUUUAUUUUUAUUUUCAUUUUUUGACAUUAAGGACAAUGUCCAGUUUAGGUUUGGGCGUAAGGAUUGAAAAAAUGACCAAAUUGAAAAUGUUCAUCCCUUUGACUAAGAAUUGGUUUGAUUUGUUUCCUUGUUGUUGCUUUUUUUUUUCUUAAUUUCUUUUGUUUACUCUAAAAAAUAAACCCAAAAAAAAAUAUCUAAAAAUAUGAAAAUCCAAAAAAUAUUGUCUUAUUUUCUUUAUCGUUUUGAAUUAGAUUUUUGUUAGUUUCCCGAUCCAAUGAUAUAAUUCAAUUAAAUUUGAACCACGGUGAUCAAGGACUUAGUAAGCAUGUGUUGUGUGAAAUUCCUUAUUCUCUUGUUAGCCUUGUACAUGUUUAAUCAUCUUUGAAAAACCAAAUGCACAUAGCCUUGUUGAUGUGAAACUAAAGUAUGACUUAAAGCUUCACAUGUGAAUAUAGUGACCAUAUACAACCUAUGUGAGUUUUUGAGCCUAUUGAAAGUGUGUGCAUUUUUCAUACACUCAUAUUCUUUCAUGUGUGAUGAACUUAUGUGAAUUACAUAUCUAGAACUUGCGUAACGAUCUUUUUAAAUGUUUGUCAUUGAUUGCAUGAACUUGAAAAGGAUAGAGGCAUUAAGUUUACCACCAUGGCCCAAAUAAGCAUGUUUCCUAAAGAGAAAUGAUAUCAUUAGAUUGCCAAUUUGAGCCGUAUAUGUUGAGCCUUUUAUUUCUUUUCACCAGAUAUGUCUACCCUUAUACCUUAAACAUUUUUCCUUACCCUUUCCAAGCUAGCUAGUGAGCAAUGUGAGAUUGUCUUAUGAGAAAUGUUUGUGAAGUACUUUGAAGGAGUUUGGAAAAAGAAUAAGUGUGGGGAUGUUUCAUGUUUGUAUUUAGUUAUGUGCAAAAUUGGUUCCAAAAAAAAAAAAAAAAAAGAAGAAAGAAAAAAGAAAAUUGUAUACAAAGAAAAUAAAAAGUUUUUUUUUUAAGUUUCAGUUUAGGGGUGUGGUUGGAGGUAUUAGUAGAAUGGUUGGAGAGCUUGAGUUCUUGUAAAUCUCAACAAGAGAAUUGCUUGCAAUGUAGUUUGGAACUUGUGUUUACCUAUCCUUUCAUUUCUAUAACCCUCUCCCUAAGCCUCAUUACAACCAAUAAAAGUCCUCUUGAUUUAAGUUUUGCAAUUAUGAUUGUGGAGAUGAGAUCUUUAUGCAAGCUUAUAGUAGAUCUUUCACAUUCGAUUCUUUGAGCGAAAUACGUUAAACUAAAUAUAUGUGUGAUUGAGUGUAUGUCCCGUGAGAAGGUCACUAGUUUGCAUGUGGUGUUUUAAAAAAAACUUGAAAUUGCAUUAGCAUGGCUAUUACACACACUACACUUCAUGGAUGAUUAAAAGGUUACUGCUAACAUUUGAAUAAGGAAGAUGAGCUUGGAUUAGCUUGUUUGGUGCUAGCUAAGGUUUUUGAUGAUUUGUUUUCUUGAAUGAAAUUCUAAGAGGGUCACAUAGGGGGAAGCUAUUGUUUUUCAUGUCGCUACUUUUUCAUAUUUUCUUCAUUUUGCUCGAGGACUAGCAAAAGCUAAGUGUUGGGGUAUUUGAUAAGCUCAUAUUUAUAUAUAUUUUACGUCAAAUUCACUUGUCUUUUCUUAGUUAGUUCCUUAUAUUUUUGAGCUAUUUACUUUGUUUUUGUGUUUUGUGGGAUUUGUCAAGCAAAUAAAAGAAAAAUAGCACAAGUAGGAUUUUUAGUAACAAAUUUGUCAAAACUGCCUGUGCAGAUCAGCUGAAUUUGGAAGCAAGUUGCGAACAGCUCAGAAUGAAUUAGAGAAUGAGCCUUAUAUGCUUGGAAAGCUACGGAUGUAUAUUUUCUGGAACAUUUCGCGGAUUGUUAAUAUCAUUUUUCUAGAAGAAGUUAUGGCCAUUUUAAUACUGAAAGGUUUCCAAGACGCUGAGCAGUUUGUAACUGCAUUGAAGGCAAUAAAUCCAAUAAAACUAGCAGCCAAAACUGAUGCAACCAAGAACAAGUCAGCUGACACCUAUUCAAAUAUCAGAUGAAAUGGAAUUAAAAAUGAGGAUUAAGAGGGAGUAAUUGGCAUAAAGGCUACCUAAAGUGUUACAAUUGUUUUACCACAUUUCCUCUCACUUAUUGUCAUCGCUAAAUGGCUAUUAGUGGGUAAGUUAAGGAGAAGAAAAUGAUGCAGCAAGAAUGGGUUUAAAAGUAGCAUUGGGGAAGGAAGGAAGGGGGGAGGAGGCCUCGGUCGAUUUCUUUCGGUUCUAUCUUCUCAAACUCAUGUCUAUCUUUUGUUUUAACUUAAGGAUUGUGUGUAACUAAAUUUUUAGGAUGCAUAUGUAGUAAGCAUAUAUAGGAUGCAUAUGUAGUAAGCAUAUCUAGGAUUCUAAUGCUAUGAAUAUGUGUGUGUCUGCCCUUAUCAAAUGAGGACCUACAUAUAUUCUAGAGUAGUACUUGUUAAUUGCAAUUAACAUGUGAACCAAUUUCUAGGAUAAGUAAGACAACGUCAGUACUUACGAUGCCUUGUGAUGACUCAAACUCUUUUCGUUCUUAAUGAUUUCUACUUGUUAAAUCUAUGAA